Molecule: RNA transcript, 3803 nt
Organism: Lagopus muta (rock ptarmigan)
Lineage: Eukaryota; Metazoa; Chordata; Aves; Galliformes; Phasianidae
Gene name: acyl-CoA dehydrogenase family member 11-like
Exons: 15
Source: RefSeq, a predicted model, not a curated record
GUUCAUUUUCAAGAAUAAUAUAACAGCAUUAGGAGAAAACAUGAUGCAGUGAAGGUGAUAGCUGUUGGGGUGACGUGCUGAAGCUUUGCAGUCAUGUUUACUUUGGCUCUGUGCAGACCUGGUGCUACCUGCAGGCUGCGUCACGGCUGGGACAGGUGCCAAGCCUGCAGUUGUAGAGGAUUCAGCACAACAGCAGGGCAAGGCCAGCAGGUCGGCCUGCAGGAGAAGCAAGUGGGAGCAGACCUGGAAAUGCCUGUUGCAAGAAGAGAAGCUGAGACCCUCUUCCAAGAGCGGCCUGAGCCUGGGAACCAGUAUUUGGAGGAUGCUUUGCUUCGGAGUUACCUGGAGGCACACCUUCCUCCCAAGGUACUGGAGGAGGUGAGCCAGGAGCUGGAGGGGUUUGGAAACCGUCUGCUAAGCAAGAUCGGACCUCUGGGAUGGGAAUGUGAGUUGAAUCCCCCUGUAUUUCGGCAGUACGACGCCUGGGGGCAGCGGGUGGAUCACAUUGUCACCUGCUCAGCAUGGAAGAGGAUGAAGGAGAUUGCAGCAGAGGAGGGGCUGAUUGCUGAGGCCUAUGAGAGAAGAUACUCCAACUGGAGCCGUGUGCACCAGGCUGUCAAACUGUACUUGUUUUCAACCGCCUCUGGGGGUUUCAACUGUCCGCUGGCCAUGACUGAUGGAGCAGCCAAAGUCAUUGAGUCCCUGGGUGUUCCUGCAUCUCUGAGAAAUGCUUUUGACCGUCUGACAUCUCGGGACCCCAGGAAGUUCUGGACCUCUGGCCAGUGGAUGACUGAGCGCCGGGGGGGCUCUGAUGUUGCUAAUGGCACAGAGACGGUGGCCAGAAAGCAGCCAGAUGGCACAUAUCAUCUCUAUGGUUUUAAAUGGUUUACAUCAGCUGCUGAUUCUGAUAUGGCACUGACCCUGGCCAGGAUAGAGGAUGCUGAAGGACGUGUGAAACAGGGCUCCGGCGGGCUGUCCCUGUUCUUCCUGAGGGUUCGAGACGAGGAGGAAAAGCUGAAUGGUAUCCAAGUGCAAAGACUGAAAGCGAAGUUGGGCACACGGCAGAUGGCGACAGCAGAGCUGUGGCUAAAUGGAGCUAAAGCAGAGCUGAUCUCUGCAGAAGGUCGUGGAGUGGCCUCCAUCUCCAACAUGCUGAACAUAACUCGGAUCCACAACGUCAUCGGUGCAGUAGCUUCCAUGAGAAGGAUGAUCAGUCUGAGCAGGCAGUAUGCCCUAAAACGGGUUGCCUUCGGGAAGCUCCUCAAAGAUCAUCCCCUGCACAUGCAGACGAUCGCCCGGAUGGAGGUGCAGACACGAGGGGCUUUUCUUCUCCUUAUGGAGAUGGCUCGGCUGCUUGGACUUGCAGAAACCAACAUGGCAAGCGAGCAGGACCAGCUCCUCUUGAGACUGCUUGUGCCAGUUGCCAAACUGUACACGGGGAAGCAGGCUUCUGCCGUUGCUAUUGAGGCAAUGGAGUCUUUUGGAGGACAAGGUUACAUGGAGGAUACAGGCUUACCAGUCAUAGUUCGUGAUACUCUGGUGCUGUCCAUAUGGGAAGGAACAACAAAUGUCCUAUCACUCGACGUCCUGAGGUCCCUCACCAAGAGCCGGGGGCAGGCGAUGGCCGUGUUCUUCUCCACAGUGCAGAACAAACUGGAGUCGGCUUGGAGCAGCGCGGAGCUGCAGGCCGCAGCGCAGUCUGUGCAGGAUGCCGCCGGCCGCCUCGCACGGUUCUGCCGAGGAGCUGCUUCCGAAGGGGCAGCGCCCAUGGAGCUGGCAGCAAGAGACUUCUCCUACUCCCUAGCAAGGAUCUAUGCAGGAGCUCUGCUAAUUGAGCACGCGGCUCGGCCUGGCUCCUCCCGCCUUGAUGUCUGUGCCGCUCAGAGGUGGUGCAGGCAGGAACUCUGCCCCGCGGCUGCAGAGAUGGAGAACGGCAGCUACAGCGCCGAGGAGUCGACCCUGGACGGCGCCCUGGUGUACGACGGCAGCCCCGCGGGCAGCAGGCUGUGACUCAGACAGGUAACGGAGACGCUCAGGUUGCACCCGAGGCAGCUGCAGGGAGCACGGCGAGCCCCCGAUGGGGGUCGCUGCUGAACAGAGGUAUUUCCGUCUCCAGGGCAGCGGUGGCUGGGUCUGCACAAGCGUUUGGACCCAGAGCACCGGUGCAGCUUUGAGACAAACAUCCACAGCAGCCCCACUCAUAGAACCAUGGAAUCAUGAAGGUUGGAAAGGACCACUGAGGUCCUUUCCAUGGUGCAACUUGAGGCCAUCACCUCUCGUCCUGUUGCUGUUAUCCAGGAGCAGAGGCCAAUCCCCACCUCACCACAACCCCCUUCCAGGACCUUCCUGCCCUCAGGCACAUCCACACUUCCUCCCAGCACGGUGGCACCUGCAGAGCUGUUGCUGGGCUCGCAAUCCCCUCGUGCAGAUCAUCCACAAAGGUAUCAAACAUUGCCAGCCCCAGUCGCCACACGUCGGCUCGGUUUGCUGAGCGCUUUGAUCGGAAGCCAACCCUAUUCCUUAGGGGAGGAGGGCGCCCUGCGGCCGUGCACGGAGCGAUCCGAGCCGCCUCGGGGAGCUGCAGGCACCGGGCGGACGCUGCCAUCAGGGCACACGGCAAACCCCCCCAGCACCCCCUGGUGCUGCCUUACUGCCGGUGCAGAUGCAGCCAGCAGAUGUCGGGAUGCUCUUGCUGUGUUUUAGGCAAAUGCUGAGUGAUCCGAUCACUGUCAGGAUGUGACUCGAAGCGGCAGCCGAGUGCUAACUGACUUUGUUAUAAAGAAAAGCAACGAAAAACUGAAAUUAUUUAGAUUUACAACAGAAAACCUUUGUUUUUUCUCAUUCACAGAGCUGCUCUCCAGUGCUGCCUGUGCUCCGAUGGCGUUUUCUUGGUGGUGCCUCCACAGGAGCUGCAGCCCUGGCUCACGCUGCCCGGAUGAAACGAAGUCUUUCUGACCAGAAGUUGCUCACCUCCUCCCUGCCCGCGCUGCCAUCACAAAACCAUCGGUGCUCACUGGUUGGUUAAGUCGUGCUUUUGGUUCUUUCUUUCUCCCUUGCCCCAGAGCAGCUCUGCUGGGCUUAAAGGUGACCCAAAGCAGAGGCUUUGCUGCACUGCUCCUUGCUGGACGCCCCAUCCCUGCUCACUGAGCUCCACGGGCAGCAGAGGUGGGCAACAAAAGCAGUCACCAGUGCACAUCAAAGGCAGCGCUGCUGCCCAGUGCUGCUCCGUAACAGCCCUGCGAGGGGGUAAAUCACAUCAACCCCAUCACUCAGAUCCCAUCAAGGCCGGACACGUCAGUACCAGAAUGAAAGAAAAAUCAUUUCUGACCUCCAGCAAGCUUAUUCAUUUCCUUCGUGUGUCACAGCGGUGCUGCAAGUGAUGCUGACAUCACUUCUGACGCACGCUGGAGAUCGGAAUCCCGCGCUGCUCCACCAAAGCAAACACUGCCUCACCUGUGCGCCGUGCCCAGCAACCAGCAGGGAGCAGCUCUGCGGGCGCUGCUCUGAGGCGGCACAGCACAGGGCUCCCAGCUGCACAGCACCACUGAGGAGUGACUCAAGCACAAGAGGAGCUCCCUAAAAUCUUGUAAUUGAAACCCGCUGCUCCUCUGCGCGUCUGUAACAGUUGCUGCAUUUUCUUCCUGAAGCUGCAAAUGCCACCGCCGGCCCUGAGGUCGCCCAGCAUGCAGGUGUGAGAGCACAGCCAUGACCCUGCAGGGGGAGGAGUGGAAAAUCCGCUCUUCCAAAGGCGAGAGGGGCAGCAGGCGCUGAAGGAGGGGCUGAGUUAUGGGGAGAAAGGCGAG